This 468-nucleotide ribosomal RNA is filed under the name uncultured bacterium. Its description in RNAcentral is "partial 16S ribosomal RNA". It matches the Rfam family "Bacterial small subunit ribosomal RNA", at positions 28 to 507 of the family's 1533-position model. The record is from RNAcentral.
GACGAACGCUGGCGGCGUGCUUAACACAUGCAAGUCGAACGGAAAGGCCCUGCUUUUGUGGGGUGCUCGAGUGGCGAACGGGUGAGUAACACGUUAGUAACCUGCCCUUGACUUUGGGAUAACUUCAGGAAACUGGGGCUAAUACCGGAUAGGAGCUCCUGCUGCAUGGUGGGGGUUGGAAAGUUUCGGCGGUUGGGGAUGGACUCGCGGCUUAUCAGCUUGUUGGUGGGGUAGUGGCUUACCAAGGCUUUGACGGGUAGCCGGCCUGAGAGGGUGACCGGCCACAUUGGGACUGAGAUACGGCCCAGACUCCUACGGGAGGCAGCAGUGGGGAAUAUUGCACAAUGGGCGGAAGCCUGAUGCAGCAACGCCGCGUGCGGGAUGACGGCCUUCGGGUUGUAAACCGCUUUCGCCUGUGACGAAGCGUGAGUGACGGUAAUGGGUAAAGAGGCACCGGCUAACUACGUG